AUAUGUAUCUGGCAGGGGACAUUCUUUGAUCACAAAGGUGCUUUUUCCAGGGUCCAUCAUACUCCACAUAUGUUGACCCCUGUGGUUUCCCCAAGUACAAGAAAUUUGAUGCAUAAUUUAUGGUAGUUGGGGAUUGCAUUCACAUGUUCUCUUCGG
RNAcentral lists this small nuclear RNA (156 nucleotides) under Meriones unguiculatus (Mongolian gerbil). Its description in RNAcentral is "U1 spliceosomal RNA (ENSMUGG00000018648.1)". It matches the Rfam family "U1 spliceosomal RNA". Rfam says of the family: U1 is a small nuclear RNA (snRNA) component of the spliceosome (involved in pre-mRNA splicing). Its 5' end forms complementary base pairs with the 5' splice junction, thus defining the 5' donor site of an intron. The record is from RNAcentral. Lineage: Eukaryota; Metazoa; Chordata; Mammalia; Rodentia; Muridae.